This 960-nucleotide ribosomal RNA is filed under the name Triticum aestivum (bread wheat). RNAcentral describes it as "partial small subunit ribosomal RNA". The record is from RNAcentral. Lineage: Eukaryota; Viridiplantae; Streptophyta; Magnoliopsida; Poales; Poaceae.
AUGGCCGCCUCUGCCUCUUACCUUUCUCUGGUGGUGCUCGUGGCUCUGGCCGCCGUGGUGUCGGGGCAGCUGUCGCCGACGUUCUACGACACAUCCUGCACAAGGGCCCUGGCCACCAUCAAGAGCGGCGUCAUGGCCGCCGUGAGCAGCGAUCCUCGGAUGGGCGCGUCGCUGCUCCGGCUGCACUUCCACGACUGCUUCGUCCAAGGCUGUGACGCGUCUGUUCUGCUGUCUGGCAUGGAACAAAACGCUAUCCCGAACAACGGGUCACUGCGGGGUUUCGGCGUCAUCGACAGCAUCAAGACACAGAUCGAGGCCAUCUGCGCCCAGACCGUCUCCUGCGCCGACAUCCUCACUGUCGCUGCCCGUGACUCCGUCGUCGCCGUAAGAAUAUCAUCUUACGAUCCUCGGAGGGCCAUCAUGGAAGUCCCUCUGGGAAGAAGGGAUUCCAUAGAUGCAAACGAGGCGGCGGCAAACAGCGACCUCCCAGGCCCUACAUCUAGCCGGUCAGAUCUUGAGCUGGCAUUCAGCAACAAGGGCCUCCUUACGGUCGACAUGGUGGCCCUCUCCGGCGCGCACACCAUCGGCCAGGCGCAGUGCGGGACCUUCAAGGACAGGAUCUACAACGAGACUAACAUCGACACGACCUUCGCCACAUCUCUCCGGGCCAACUGCCCCCGGUCCAACGGUGACGGCAGCCUGGCGAACCUGGACACGACCACGGCCAACACGCUCCACAACGCCUACUACACCAACCUCAUGUCACAGAAGGGGCUCCUGCACUCGGACCAGGUGCUGUUCAACAACGACACCACCGACAACACCGUCCGGAACUUCGCGUCCAACCCGGCGGCGUUCAGCAGCGCGUUCACGACGGCCAUGAUCAAGAUGGGCAACAUCGCGCCGAAGAUGGGGACGCAAGGGCAGAUCAGGCUUAGCUGCUCCAGGGUGAACUCGUGA